CUGAAAUAGUCAGACUACUCCUAGACAAAGGCGCCCAACCUGACAAGAGUGAUGCGCUAAAAGUAGCCACAUCCCAUAGACUUUCAGCAAUAGUCAGAGUUCUCCUUGACGGAGGCGCCGAUCCUGAUAAGGGUGAUGCACUGACAAAAGCUGUAACUGAGGGCUAUACUGAAAUAGUCAGACUACUCCUAGACAAAGGCGCCCAACCUGACAAGGU
Molecule: long non-coding RNA, 217 nt
Organism: Pecten maximus
Lineage: Eukaryota; Metazoa; Mollusca; Bivalvia; Pectinida; Pectinidae
Exons: 3
Source: RefSeq, a predicted model, not a curated record